GGCUCAGUGGUUAAGAGCACCAGGUUGUUUUUCUAGAGGACCUGGGUUCAAUUCCCAG
This 58-nucleotide transfer RNA is filed under the name Cricetulus griseus (Chinese hamster). It matches the Rfam family "tRNA", at positions 9 to 63 of the family's 71-position model. Rfam says of the family: Transfer RNA (tRNA) molecules are approximately 80 nucleotides in length. The record is from Rfam by way of RNAcentral. Lineage: Eukaryota; Metazoa; Chordata; Mammalia; Rodentia; Cricetidae.